This 186-nucleotide ribosomal RNA is filed under the name Noturus sp. RNAcentral's name for it is "partial 12S ribosomal RNA". Lineage: Eukaryota; Metazoa; Chordata; Actinopteri; Siluriformes; Ictaluridae. The record is from RNAcentral.
UUACUUUCAUGGUGCCAUUCGUUUAAUAUUCUGGAUGUAGAAAAUGUAGCCCAUUUCUUCCCAUUCCAUACGCUACACCUCGACCUGACGUUUUUGGGUGGGCCCAUUUUUGCUUACUAUUAGGCCUUCACAGGGUAAGCUGACGACGGCGGUAUAUAGGCGGGGGAAACAAGGAGUGGUGAGGUU